AGUUUGUUGGUAGGGUAACGGCCUACCAAGUCAUCGAUGGUUAGCGGGUCUGAGAGGAUGAUCCGCCACACUGGAACUGAGACACGGUCCAGACUCCUACGGGAGGCAGCAGUGGGGAAUUUUGCGCAAUGGGGGAAACCCUGACGCAGCAAUACCGCGUGAGUGAAGAAGGCCUUUGGGUCGUAAAGCUCUUUUCUAAGGGAAGAUAGUGACGGUACCUUAGGAAUAAGCACCGGCUAACUCCGUGCCAGCAGCCGCGGUAAUACGGAGGGUCAAGCGUUGUUCGGAUUUACUGGGCGUAAAGGGCACGUAGGCGGCCUAGCAAGUUAAGGGUGAAAUCCCGGGGCUCAACCCCGGAACUGCUCUUAAAACUGCUAAGCUAGAGAUGGCCAGAGGCGGGUGGAAUUCCAGGUGUAGAGGUGAAAUUCGUAGAUAUCUGGAGGAACACCGGUGGCGAAGGCGGCCCGCUGGGGCCAUUCUGGCGCUGAGGUGCGAAAGCGUGGGGAGCGAACGGGAUUAGAUACCCCGGUAGUCCACGCCGUAACGAUGAACACCAGCUGUUUGGACAAACGACAGUCCAAGUGGCGCAGCUAACGCGAUGAGUGUUCCGCCUGGGGAGUACGGUCGCAAGACUAAAACUCAAAGGAAUUGACGGGGGCCCGCACAAGCGGUGGAGCAUGUGGUUUAAUUCGACGCAACGCGAAGAACCUUACCUGGGUUUGACAUCCUCGGACCGCCAUGGAAACAUGGUUUUCUCUUCGGAGACCGAGUGACAGGUGCUGCAUGGCUGUCGUCAGCUCGUGUCGUGAGAUGUUGGGUUAAGUCCCGCAACGAGCGCAACCCUUGUCCUUAGUUGCCAGCACGUAAUGGUGGGAACUUUAAGGAGACUGCCGGUGUUAAGCCGGAGGAAGGUGGGGAUGACGUCAAGUCCUCAUGGCCUUUAUAUCCAGGGCUACACACGUGCUACAAUGGUGACUACAAAGAGCAGCGAAGCCGCGAGGCUAAGCGAAUCUCAAAAAAGUCAUCUCAGUUCGGAUUGCAGUCUGCAACUCGGCUGCAUGAAGUUGGAAUCGCUAGUAAUCGUAGAUCAGCGCGCUACGGUGAAUACGUUCCCGGGCCUUGUACACACCGCCCGUCACACCAUGGGAGUUGACAUUGGCAGAAUACAUUGAGCUAACCUUCGGGAAGCAGGUGUGCAAGCUAGUGUUGAUGACUGGGGUGAAGUCGGAACAAGGUAGCAGUAGGAGAACCUGCGGCUG
Molecule: ribosomal RNA, 1259 nt
Filed under: metagenome
Description: bacterial SSU rRNA
Rfam family: Bacterial small subunit ribosomal RNA
Source: RNAcentral